Molecule: small RNA, 114 nt
Filed under: Arabidopsis thaliana (thale cress)
Lineage: Eukaryota; Viridiplantae; Streptophyta; Magnoliopsida; Brassicales; Brassicaceae
Description: ATSL025180
Source: RNAcentral
UUUUUUUUUGGCAACCGAUAUUAAGUAGAACGUGCCAAAUUAUCCACUUUAACAUUCAAAUCAUAAGCUUAUAAAAUCUUUCUAAACCACUCUUAUUAUUUUGUUUUAAGAAUU